CCCUCCCCAGCGCCGGGGGAAUGGCUGCCUCCGGCGCGGCCUCGCUGCCCGUAUGCCAUUCAGCUCCUGUCUGCCUUUUUGUUUACACUGGGGACACAAUGGAAGCUCGGGUCCCUGCAAUACAUGAUUUAUAAGUGUAUUCUACCUCCGAGGGGACGGGCAGAGCCGGCUGUGGGUGAGUGAGCUCCGUGAAUAUUGCCAAGACACUGUGCUUUGUUCAGCACUAUUUUCCACAAUAGAUACCACACUUUGGAAGUAAUUUUAAAAAGGGAAUCAAAAUAGUGCUACUUUCAGCCUUUGUUUCUUUCAUACCACGCUGCGUUCUCUGCCUCAUUCAGCCGCUCGCAUUAUCCUGACAAAUUAAAUAAACCGCUCCAUCGCCGGAAGGCUCGGCCAGGCCGGGCUUCAGCCACCGCAGCCCCGGGAAGUCGGAACACUGAGGCAGCUGCUGCUAGCGGUCUCAGCGAACUUUGGUCAAGGAGCGAGGAAAGAAAAAUAUAUACGUAUAUCGGGGCGGGAUCCGGAAUCGGAGCCAGCCCGCGGCAGGUACUGGUCCGCGGCGGAGAGGGCUUGCGGCUCCCAGACGCGCCGAAGGUCCCUUCCUGCUGCGUGGGCCCUGGGAACGGGAACAGAGCAGAAUUUAUUCGUACGUUUGCCGAGCUGCUUCCCACUGACAGUGGCCCCUCGGGCACAGACGGGGAGGUUCUCCCCCCUUCUCUGUCCCCAUGCUCUGGCUCUGGCUCUGGCUCUCUCUGUGUCUCUUACGCGCUGCCAGGACUUCUAGAAGCCUGUGGUCUGCGCCGUCACGAAUGUUUGGAAGGCCGGCAAAGGAAGACCUGCGGCAGGAUUUCUGACGGUGCCGCCGUGUCUGGGGUCUUUCCGUCCGAAGACGCGCUAGAGACACGGAUGCAAGCUUUGGGAGACGUCCCUCUGACUUUUGGCCUGAAACCGUGUUUUACUUUUUCAGGGGAAAAAUAAACAAAAACCUUACUUAAAACGUGGGAAGGAAGCUUGUUCAAAUGGAGAAGGGGUUAUUUUUCCUUUGAAACGGAGUGUGCCCUGGUGUCGUCGUGGGCUUCGGAUGCUCAGGGAGGCGUGAAACGUGGGGUGGCUCUUUCUCUAAGGGUAGCCCGGGUUCGACCUGAAGAGCCCUCCCCCAGCAUCUCCGCUGGGACCCCAUGGUCAGCCACCACCCACUCAACAAAAUCAGUCGGACUCGGGGAAAGAGAGCCGUGAGCUCUGGCUGUCAGAGGCGCCGAUUUCCUUAUGAAAACAGACUCCAGUAAAUGCCAGUUCCAACGUGGGCUUUGAAGGCGUCCGCCCCCAGCCAGGAUGACCUCAUUUAAAAUGCACACUGUCUCAGGCAUGGAGUGGGGAACUCUGUUCCAACAGAGGCGUCCCCUGGCUUCGAAGUCAGAGGCCGCUGCAGGCAAAGAGAAAUAUUGAGCCAAAAGAGUUUGAACACAGCCAUCGGGGUUCAUCUUUUAUUACCAAAGAAAGACUUGAAAAAGCCCAGGUGAAAUUUCCUUCCAUUGUCUAGGAAAAUUCUCUGUAAUUUGCCCCCAGGGAAAUCCAAGUGCCUUGCGGCCGGGCCCCCCCCCCACCUCUGUUCUUCUCUCUUCCUUUCUCAGGGUAAAUGUCUCCAGGGUCCCUGGGGAACGGAGUGGGUGAGCGGGCCAUGCUGAAGGUCAGGGUUGCCCACUGUGGCCUGACUUUUAAGCUAAAGAGGUUUUUCUUUCUCUUGUUGCCAUGCCAGGUCUAAUUUGGUGGCAUUAUGCUAACGGGGCAGGCCUGCUCGUGACAGGAGGGGUUAAAUGAGAUUACAAGCUUUGCAGGCUGUCAGCGGCUCCCGCUGCCUGGACGUUAAAUGGGGAUUUAAUGGUCAGCUUUAUCUGUAGAGUAUCAGUGGAAAUCUGCUGUUUUCAGCAACUUAAUUGGCACUGUAUUUGCAGGAGUUUUUCG
RNAcentral lists this long non-coding RNA (1962 nucleotides) under Mustela putorius furo (domestic ferret). RNAcentral describes it as "lncRNA (ENSMPUG00000025622.1)". Lineage: Eukaryota; Metazoa; Chordata; Mammalia; Carnivora; Mustelidae. The record is from RNAcentral.